UUUCCGUGGGUGAACCUGCGGAAGGAUCAUUACCGAGUGAGGGCCCUCUGGGUCCAACCUCCCACCCGUGUUUAUCGUACCUUGUUGCUUCGGCGGGCCCGCCUCACGGCCGCCGGGGGGCACCCGCCCCCGGGCCCGCGCCCGCCGAAGACACCAUUGAACGCUGUCUGAAGAUUGCAGUCUGAGCAUCUUAGCUAAAUCAGUUAAAACUUUCAACAACGGAUCUCUUGGUUCCG
Molecule: unclassified non-coding RNA, 236 nt
Filed under: plant metagenome
Description: partial contains small subunit ribosomal RNA, internal transcribed spacer 1, and 5.8S ribosomal RNA
Source: RNAcentral